CUCCAGCAGCCUUUCAAACGUUCCUCGCAAACUGUGCAUGAGAGUUAUCGCCUCCCAGAUGGCUUCUAUGCCGGUUUUCUUGGUAUCUCCUUGCCCUUCCAACUGAUCAUCUGGAAUGCUAACGAACUUGAGUGUGCUUGCAGAGUCGGGCAUAGUCUCGCUGAUUGCUCGGAGAACUCUCGAUUGUGUUCUUCUGGUGGUGACGAACGUGACUUUGAGGCCCUGCGAGACAAGACGAGCAGCAAAGUGAAGCAUGGGAGUUAUGUGCCCCAUUACAGGUAAUGGAAACACGACGACCGUACUGCUCUCCAUUGGAGUUCUCUACACUCUUCUACUGCAGAAUGCCUACACAGAUCCACAAAUCUACUGGCGAGCAGAGUGGAUAAAUACUAGAGGCGAGCUGGCUCAGCGACAAAUCGCAUUGCCGCGGCAUCUACAGAAGCGUCUACUGUGGGUGAUCCUGUUUUAAUCUUCAUCUUCGGCAGGGAAUUGACAACUAGCCAUUCGUAUUUUUGUGUACUCAAAUCGGAUUUCCUCCAACACGCUAUGAAGAGUAAGUCAACGAUUCCCCAACGUCCGAUGUUAUCUUGAUAUGAUACUGGUUUUCGUUUUUCCAGUGUUCGUAUGGCUUUAGAACUUCACAAAGACUUGGCUUAGUAAAUUUCAUGGUGGGGACAAGUGGAACGAACCAGCAAAAGUGGCAUGUUUUCACAGCAGACAAUUCAACGUGUCAAGAGUCUAUAUAAAAUGGUAAGAGCUCCUUUGUUUUCAUUUGAGAACUUGGGAUCGAAAAUAAAGAGUUUCUUUUGUUGUGUAUUGUCCAGGUACAAACGAACAGGAGAAAAGAACAAAAAGAAAAUCGCGCUACCGCAUUUAUUUCUGCUACAACUCUAGAAGAAGAAGAAU
Molecule: long non-coding RNA, 906 nt
Filed under: Selaginella moellendorffii
Lineage: Eukaryota; Viridiplantae; Streptophyta; Lycopodiopsida; Selaginellales; Selaginellaceae
Description: long non-coding RNA (SMOE_LNC000743)
Source: RNAcentral